This 254-nucleotide ribosomal RNA is filed under the name uncultured bacterium. Its description in RNAcentral is "partial 16S ribosomal RNA". It matches the Rfam family "Bacterial small subunit ribosomal RNA", at positions 524 to 776 of the family's 1533-position model. The record is from RNAcentral.
UACGUAGGGUGCGAGCGUUAAUCGGAAUUACUGGGCGUAAAGCGUGCGCAGGCGGUGAUGUAAGACCGGAUGUGAAAUCCCCGGGCUUAACCUGGGAACUGCGUUGGUGACUGCAUUGCUGGAGUAUGGCAGAGGGGGGUGGAAUUCCACGUGUAGCAGUGAAAUGCGUAGAGAUGUGGAGGAACACCGAUGGCGAAGGCAGCCCCCUGGGCCAAUACUGACGCUCAUGCACGAAAGCGUGGGGAGCAAACAGG